RNAcentral lists this ribosomal RNA (494 nucleotides) under uncultured bacterium. RNAcentral describes it as "partial 16S ribosomal RNA". It matches the Rfam family "Bacterial small subunit ribosomal RNA", at positions 28 to 507 of the family's 1533-position model. The record is from RNAcentral.
GACGAACGCUGGCGGCGCGCUUAACACAUGCAAGUCGAACGGAAAGGCCUGCUUUCCCUUGUGGAUUGCGGGUACUCGAGUGGCGAACGGGUGAGUAACACGUGAGUGAUCUGCCCCCAACUUGGGUAUAAGCCUGGGAAACUGGGUCUAAUUCCCGAUAGGACUGCAGGGUGGUGCCUGUGGUGGAAGACGAUUUUCUAGUGGUUGGGGAUGAGCUCGCGGCCUAUCAGCUUGUUGGUGGGGUAAUGGCCUACCAAGGCGGCGACGGGUAGCCGGCCUGGGAGGGUGGACGGGCACAUUGGGACUGAGAUACGGCCCAGACUCCUACGGGAGGCAGCAGUGGGGAAUAUUGCACAAUGGGCGGAAGCCUGAUGCAGCGACGCCGCGUGGGGGAUGACGGCCCUCGGGUUGUAAACUCCUUUCGACCGCGAGGAAGCCACCUGGUUGGAAGGGUGGUGACGGUAGUGGUAGAAGAAGCACCGGCUAACUACGUG